AGACUUGACGCGUGCUGUUUCUACCAAGAUUGUAAAUGAUCAAGCUUCUCCUGAUAUUAUUAUUAACAGCGACCCUGGAGGAGAUACGAAGCAAGAGGCUUCACCUCCACCGAUACCCGUAGUUCUGGUCCGUUCCAGGUCUGGCAAUGACAUAGACUCUUUUUCGGUAGAAAAAUCAAGAAAAGAAGAAUUACUUGGCAAUAUCUCCAAGCAACGCCUUACCAGAUCAUCCUCAAUGAUAAUUGUAUCACAGGCUCGAAUAUAUCCCUAUCUGGAUUCUGUUAGAGUUUCACCAAAGGAUGCAGGAAACAUGCGCUCACUUGAACAAAAUGGUGGCAUAAUGCCUCUAUCAUCAGAUAACAAGUUUGGUGCCUUUUUCUUGAUAAAGAAUUUGGAUACAGGUAAAGAAUUCAUUGUCAACGAGUACAAUCAAGAUGGGAUGUGGAAUAAGGUAAGCGAUCUGCAAACAGGGAAGCAAUUAACCAUGGAAGAAUUCGAAAAGUGUGUUGGCCAUUCGCGGAUUGUUAAGGAGUUAAUGAGUAGAGAAAAUGUUUCCAGGAUGAAUGGUGAUGAUAGGAAAAUAACAGCCAAUAAUUAUCUAUCGAAGAGUUUGAGAAUGAGCAAGAGAAGGGG
This 633-nucleotide unclassified non-coding RNA is filed under the name Hevea brasiliensis (rubber tree). Lineage: Eukaryota; Viridiplantae; Streptophyta; Magnoliopsida; Malpighiales; Euphorbiaceae. The record is from RNAcentral.